Molecule: ribosomal RNA, 465 nt
Filed under: uncultured bacterium
Lineage: Bacteria
Description: partial 16S ribosomal RNA
Rfam family: Bacterial small subunit ribosomal RNA
Source: RNAcentral
GACGAACGCUGGCGGCGUGCUUAACACAUGCAAGUCGAACGGAAAGGCCCCCUUGUGAGGUACUCGAGUGGCGAACGGGUGAGUAACACGUGAGUAACCUACCCUUGACUUUGGGAUAACUUCAGGAAACUGGGGCUAAUACCGGAUAGGAGCUCCUGCUGCAUGGUGGGGGUUGGAAAGUUUCGGCGGUUGGGGAUGGACUCGCGGCUUAUCAGCUUGUUGGUGGGGUAGUGGCUCACCAAGGCUUUGACGGGUAGCCGGCCUGAGAGGGUGACCGGCCACAUUGGGACUGAGAUACGGCCCAGACUCCUACGGGAGGCAGCAGUGGGGAAUAUUGCACAAUGGGCGGAAGCCUGAUGCAGCAACGCCGCGUGCGGGAUGACGGCCUUCGGGUUGUAAACCGCUUUCGCCUGUGACGAAGCGUGAGUGACGGUAAUGGGUAAAGAAGCACCGGCUAACUACGUG